CCUGGCAAAGGGAGAGACACACUGACAAUGAAUGGAUUCUAUUUCAAAUUGUGCCACUCGCUGGCAGCCCUUCUACAUAUGUACAUAUGUAUAUAUCCAUCAAUCGAUUCAUGCUGAGCUCUGCCAAUUUCGUAAGUGCCAUUCAUGCGCUCUUGGGCCCCACUUGAGCACGGAAUUGGAGGACGUUGGGCAAAUUGAUUUGAUUUACUUUAAAACAGUUUGCACGCCCAUAAUACGCCGCAUAUGUUGGUAAUUGUGUUUUGAUUUUUCGCAUAAAACAGUGUUCCGAGAGUUUUAUUUGUUAUAUAAAAAACUAGCUAUACCUUUGUUAUUAAGGCCGACACUUUGAGGCAGAGAACAAUAAACCUCAGUUAUUAUUAUUGUUGUUAAGUUAAAUCGCAACUUAAUUGCUCAGCUAUUGAAAACUUAGUUGCACGUUAUGUUAAGCUGCUGUUAUUAACAGUGCGACUGUUAUACUCAAAGUAGCCCCGUACAACAGAUAUAUCGAUACCAUUUACAGUAAUAGAGGCAUUGUGACGUAGCAGCGAGCAAUGGGCUAUGGACAGCAUCUGCUCAACGAACGAAAUCAAAACGGUAUAUGCAAAUUUUGACUGAAUUCAAUUGAAAUACAAAUCUCCAAAUAGAAAUCCAGAAGUGCUGCAAGUAGCUACGCAAGGUUAAAUUCAUGUCCACGCAUCUUGAAUAUCAAUUGGAAUUCGUUUUCGUUCUGUACACCCAUUCCGAUGUCGUUGUUAUGCUUUGUUUAGCAUAAGCAGCACAGCACACCCAUGAUCACCAAUACACAUAGACAGAUACGCACACACACAGCUAUAUAAGUCGACACCACCUACCCUGGGCAUGUUUGCUGAAGAGCUGUGUGUUCCGUUUUUUGAUUUCUUUUGCUUUCUUUUUGGCCUUUUGGUUAAUAUAUUUUGCAGCUACUUUUACAGGUCGCAGAUUGCCCAGAAACGGUUGUAUUUAUAUCGGAUAUAUAGUUAAUAUAAUGAUAUUUCAGACAGCUGAUGACGCCUUCCCGACGUACCGCGACAAACGUGGAAACACAACUAAAAGCACCGCAAAAGCAACAACACAAAAACCAAAAGACAAACACACAAAAGCUCGCGCUGCCAAAGCAAAAAGCUUUCGGCUCUGCGAUCGGACUCUGUGAACAGCUGUUCGGCCGAUUGCAUCGAAUGUGCAAUUGCGAUUCAUGUUAAUUCAAUUACGUUUACACAGAAUGCGGGCGGGCGAGCGAUAAAAUGAGUAAAGUGAAAAUGAAUAUGAA
Molecule: non-coding RNA, 1285 nt
Organism: Drosophila virilis
Lineage: Eukaryota; Metazoa; Arthropoda; Insecta; Diptera; Drosophilidae
Source: RefSeq, a predicted model, not a curated record